This 398-nucleotide ribosomal RNA is filed under the name uncultured bacterium. RNAcentral describes it as "bacterial SSU rRNA". It matches the Rfam family "Bacterial small subunit ribosomal RNA", at positions 361 to 776 of the family's 1533-position model. The record is from RNAcentral.
AUUUUCCGCAAUGGGGGAAACCCUGACGGAGCGACGCCGCGUGGGGGAAGAAGGCCUUCGGGUCGUAAACCUCUGUCUUUGGGGACGAAAAUGACGGUACCCAAGGAGGAAGCCCCGGCUAACUACGUGCCAGCAGCCGCGGUAACACGUAGGGGGCGAGCGUUGUCCGGAAUCACUGGGCGUAAAGGGCGUGUAGGCGGCCUGUUAAGUCAGGCGUGAAAGCCCUGGGCUUAACCUGGGGACUGCGCUUGAAACUGGCGGGCUUGAGGGCAGGAGAGGAAAGUGGAAUUCCCGGUGUAGCGGUGAUAUGCGUAGAUAUCGGGAGGAACACCAGUGGCGAAGGCGGCUUUCUGGACUGCACCUGACGCUGAGGCGCGAAAGCCAGGGGAGCGAACGGG